RNAcentral lists this ribosomal RNA (435 nucleotides) under uncultured bacterium. RNAcentral describes it as "bacterial SSU rRNA". It matches the Rfam family "Bacterial small subunit ribosomal RNA", at positions 27 to 507 of the family's 1533-position model. The record is from RNAcentral.
GAACGAACGCUGGCGGCAUGCCUAACACAUGCAAGUCGAACGAGACCUUCGGGUCUAGUGGCGCACGGGUGCGUAACGCGUGGGAACCUGCCUUUAGGUUCGGAAUAACAGUGAGAAAUUACUGCUAAUACCGGAUGAUGUCUUCGGACCAAAGAUUUAUCGCCUUUAGAUGGGCCCGCGUUGGAUUAGCUAGUUGGUGGGGUAAAGGCCUACCAAGGCGACGAUCCAUAGCNGGUUCUGAGAGGAUGAUCAGCCACACUGGGACUGAGACACGGCCCAGACUCCUACGGGAGGCAGCAGUGGGGAAUAUUGGACAAUGGGCGAAAGCCUGAUCCAGCAAUGCCGCGUGAGUGAUGAAGGCCUUAGGGUUGUAAAGCUCUUUUACCCGAGAUGAUAAUGACAGUAUCGGGAGAAUAAGCUCCGGCUAACUCCGUG